RNAcentral lists this ribosomal RNA (440 nucleotides) under uncultured bacterium. Its description in RNAcentral is "partial 16S ribosomal RNA". It matches the Rfam family "Bacterial small subunit ribosomal RNA", at positions 338 to 795 of the family's 1533-position model. The record is from RNAcentral.
CCUACGGGAGGCAGCAGUGGGGAAUAUUGCACAAUGGGGGAAACCCUGAUGCAGCGACGCCGCGUGAGUGAUGAAGUAUCUCGGUACGUAAAGCCCUAUUAGCAGGGAAGAAAAUGACGGUACCUGACUAAUAAGCACCGGCUAACUCCGUGCCAGCAGCCGCGGUAAUACGUAGGGGGCAAGCGUUAACCGGAUUCACUGGGCGUAAAGGGCGCGUAGACGGGAGCGCAAGUCUGGUGUGAAAUGCCAGGGGCCAACCUCGGAACUGCUUUGGAAACUGUGCAGCGAGAGUGCGGGAGAGGUAAGCGGAAUUCCUGGUGUAGCGGUGAAAUGCGUAGAGAUUAAGAGGAACACCAAUGGCGAAGGCGGCUUACUGGACUGUAACUGACGUUGAGGCACGAAAGCGUGGGGAGCAAACAGGAUUAGAUACCCGUGUAGUC